Molecule: long non-coding RNA, 15365 nt
Organism: Centruroides sculpturatus (bark scorpion)
Lineage: Eukaryota; Metazoa; Arthropoda; Arachnida; Scorpiones; Buthidae
Exons: 2
Source: RefSeq, a predicted model, not a curated record
UUUUCUGCUAUAAGUUUUUUUUUUCUUUAUGUUGGAUAUUUACAUUAUUCUGGUCAAUAUUGCAGUUAUUUAACGUACAAUGUUCAAGAAAAGCUGGAUUAAUUCUACGAUGUUUUAAAUCUGCUAUAUGUUCCUUUAAUCUAAUCUUCAUCUUUCUCAUGGUUUCUCAUAUGUAAAUUUUUUUAUUUUCACAUGUACACGGGAUUUGGUAUAUGAUGUUUUUUAUCUCAUUUACUUGUUGUUUUGAUAUGGAUUUAUUAGUAUUUAGUCUCGCAAAAAGUUUUUUAUACUUCGCGGCAAGUUAUACAUUGGUGUGCUUUAUCUCCUUAUUAAUUUUUUCGUAUAAACCUCUAAUAUAAGGGACUACAAUAUAUUUAAUUUUAGUCUGCUCUUCAUUUUGUCUAGGAGUCUUUUCAUUGUCUAUUCUGUUCACGUUAGGAUUCUCUUUGUUAUUUAUUCUAUUAUUUAUUUUAUCUUUCCUAGUUUCAAUUAGUCUGUUAAGAUAUCUAUCUAACAAGAAUUUCUUCUUCAAGUUUUUAAUAUUAUGAAGAAUUUUGAUUUUAUCGAACUUUUAAUUCUUAGAUGCAACGCUCAUUUCUUUUAUAUCAUUUAGAAUCAUUUUGAGGAAUAAAAAGUUUAUGGUUAGAUUCUAGAUACGUAUACUGUCUUGGCACCCGUCCCGACUGUUUAUACAUAAGACUGACACCUCCCAGAGGGAGCCGCCUUGUGCCAAACGUUACUAGUUAUUGAUUUACAAUAGUUAUUGAUUCAUGGUUGUUCUUGAACACACGUAUUAAUAACUAGUAUGAAGUGUUGCCAUGACAGUAUAUGUAUCUAAAAUUUAACCAAAUCUAUGUACUGUUAUGCUGUUAACGAGAUGAGUUUUUAUAGUAUCCAAAAAUUUUUGCUUAAAUUGAAAACCAAAAGGUUUUUGUGUUUUGGCAAAUCAAAGUCAGUUCGAGAAUCCCUUUGUUUGUCAUUAAACAUUUCAAUAUAAUCAAUAAACACUAUGAUUUUGAUAAUCUACAACUAUUUAAAUCACUCGAAUUCCACUCCUGAAAAAUGUGGCUGGGCAUCAAACAGUGUACAAAGAAUAUGAAGAGUUUCUUAUGUCGUAUAAUAAAGUAUAUUUUAAUACAAUACAGAAAACGUUGUGAGGUUUGCCGAUUCUGUGAAAAGUGUCGCGACAGUUGAGCGGUCAGCUCUGUCGCGUGGGCAUGGCGGAACUCACAGAGACAGGCUUUCCCAUUUUCACCCGUUUAAUAACAUCAAAAUAGUCACUUACAAAAACUUUGAAAUGUCGGGAUCCUGGUUGUAACAAUUAUAGAAUAGUCCAACAACGUGUAAUGUCUGUCGGUCUCAGACUUCCGAUCCUGGGCUCCCUUGUAUGGGUUGCCCUUGUAUGGUCACUCGUUGAUCCCGGAGAGAGCUUCUGUGUCGAUACUAGAUUUCCUUCAUCGGUUGUCGCCCUUGUAUGUUGAUUGCUAUCUAAGGUACAUGGAGUCCCUUCUUAACGUUCUAAUGCUACACACACAUGACUGAAGUAGAGGAGUCACUAACUAGACAUCCAAGAACCAAGGACGCCACAUCCUUUUUUCUCGCGAUUUUUAUAAAUUAUUUUUGUGUCCCAGACCAAACAUUUUGAUAGAGGUCGAUGUUGACUUGCCCUUGCUCUCCAAUUGGUCCCCCUCCUCAUUACGAAUUGUAACGAGAUCGGAACCCAGAUCGUGGGAUGAGUCAACAUCGACUGGCAAUUAGAUUCCUAUCGAAGAUGUUCGAUCUAAGCACUCAAAUUCAUCUAUUGUUUUAAUCUGAGUAGUUCGAUUUUCUUAGAAAUUUCUACAGACAUGUCCUUAAAUGGACAUAAAAUAUUCAUUUUUUUGUUUGAUGGUUUCUUUUUACAGCAUUAUAUUAAUUAUUAUUAUUAUUUCCUUCUAUACAAAAAUUAGAAAAAAUUAUCUUUUUUUUCCACAAGUUUUAGGCCCACUUUCGAAGCUUCAUGCAUUACAAAAUGACGAACAAUAAACAAAUCAUCUUGAUACCAAUUAUUAAAUGGAUAUUAAUCAUCGUGAAGAGGACACGCCGUUCGUGCUACUUCGUUGCUCUCGUUUUUUUGCUCUAACGGUCCAUCUUUUUCCUGCCUGUGCACGACAUCGGACUCGAUCAAGUCAUGUCAAUGUGGGGGACGGGCACCACACAUAUAUAUAUAUAUAUAUAUAUAUAUUGUCAUGUAUGCGUUCUUUUACCUAUAGCCUCGAAGAUUUGUAGAUUGUUUUUGAGAUGCGUUGCAGUUCUUAUUUUGCUAUCCUCUUCAUAUGUCUACUUCGGCUACUUUAAUAACGGCAUAAAGCAAUUAGGCAAUGGUACAAAUGAGCACGAAGUAUGCAAUUGUGAAGUUUUUCUUCAUAAACCUGACAGUGCAUUUCAUCAGGUUUAUGAAGUCAGUUACUUCAUGCUUAUUGCUUUCACAAAUUAACUUUGUUGCUUCUUGUUGAGAACACGGUUUGCGGAAUUAUUUUCAUUUUUGAAAGUUUCGUUUCUAUCUAAUGUUUAAUUUCAACAAAUUUUAAGAUUAAGGACUCCAGAUUUACUCGUCACGUGACAUAUUAUCUGAUGAGGUUAAACUGUCGGAAUACAGUUUGUCAAGCCCUACUUUGACCGUUUAACCCGAAAAAAGUUUAUUUGGUUGUUUACGUAUUAUUGAACUAUUUGAUUAAGUCAGGUCAAUUUUUGUUCCUCUUAAUCAAUAAUGUCUUCUGUUAAAUUUACUGGUGUUUGAAUAAAAAUCCCAAAAUCAUCAUGAGUACCUACUAUAACUAAUUGUAAUGAAUUGUCACUUGUAAAAAAAUAAUACUAUUUAUUUUGUUGUUAUUAAAAAAAUGUAUUUAAAAACUCACAAAUGGAAGGUAAUAUGGAAUUGUCGGGUAAUAUGGAAUAGUUGGUUUAAACCAUUGAAAAACUAAUUAGACUUCAUAAAACAUAGUUAUUCUUAACUAUAAAAACCAUAUUUCUAAGAUUAUGUGCAUGUCAUUCCUGCUUCGAGUUUACUGUAUUUACAAAAGUCACAGAUAUAAUUUUUUUUUCUGCUCCGGUACAAUCAAGGUGAGCCUAUAGAGAACAGCUGAAGCAUUGAAUUCAAAUUUUCCGUCGUUCAUCUUUGGAGAAUUUUCUGUUACAGAAGAUACAUUCAGCGUCUUCGUUUUCUGGUUCUUUAGUCGAUGGCACGAAGUCCAUUACAGAUGAUACAUCAGAAUGGAACGAUUCAUCGCUGCAAACACUGGAGUCAUCUCUGGUAGGUUUAGGUCUAGAAGGUCGGUCUAAGUUUAAUUUCUUAACAGGUGGUCUUUGAAUGUUCAGUUUGUUUUUUUGUUUUGAAGCUUCUGGUUCCUUCUUUUUGUUUUUUUUCUUUCAAUUUAUACAAUUAUCCUAGUAUUCCAUAAUACCCAAUACGCCACCUUGGAAAAUGAACCUUUAAACUGAUGAACAAAACAUUGUCAGCUAAAAACGACUACAGUAUAACAAACUUCAAUUUCUUUAGUGUACAUUAUGCUUAACAUCAAUGUUCAAGUCACAUGUAUACUACUAGGUUAAAAUGUUUGAAAAUUUGCCUGCAAAAACUCUUGAAAAUCACAAAACACACUUUGUUCUGUAUCGAGUGUUACGACGACAACAAGCAAUCAACUCUCACUGCACUACAUCGUGGGAGACUUUCUUGAGUAGUUCAUGUUUUCCCAUGUAAUAGCAGCAACAAACAGAGCCAAAACCUCGAUAUUUCAUAAUACCCUCCUCUCCUCUAUAUAUAAUUUAUUUGAUUAUGAGUUGUGUUCGAUAAGUUAAUUAAACACAGUGGAAAUAAUACAGACAGUAUUGUAUUUAAUAAUAAACAACAAAAGUUUCUUGGAAGAUGUCACUUUUUCAGAUUAUGCUUCUAGUUUUUAAUAAAUUAGUAGAUAGAAACAUAUUUCUAGUUAAAAGGUACAGAACUUCAAAACAAAAAUAAAUAAAAAUUGUUAUAUAUACUGUGAACCAGAGGGGAGGUCAGAAGUCACCGCCUCUGUCACUAGUGAGGAUGAUACGUCAGGCGAGUGGAGGGAGUUGUUGCUUGGGGUCGACGAUAAGGUGAAGGGCGUGAUCGAGUAAAGGUGUCUACCAUAUUUAAACAAUAUAACAUCUAUUUAUUUAAAGGAAGCCAAAUGAGAAAAGACUACAUCAACUCUUAGGUACAGUACACUAGUAAAACACAAAUUCUGGCCAAACAAACAAAAUAGAUGGCCAAUCUACGAUCGUUCGAUAAAGAUGCUCUAAAGGGGCAAGUGAUCGCGUCGGCAAUUAGCCCCAAAGAAGCCAUACAGUUUAUCGACGUAGAAAAUCAGAAACGUGCUGUCAUAAACUGCCCUAAAGAGAGAGUUCAUUGUUCUAUCAUACCUCUUUAUACAGUUCCCCUCAACGAUUCGAGCGUGGGGGCACUUAGGUAUCAAUCCAAGGAAUAAGGUAGUUAUAAUCCACUUUCGACACAAAUUACAUAGAUCUGCGAAUUCGGCGAAGAUGAGGGUUCGAGAUUCAUCGGAAUUCGGUGGGUUCAGAGAAUCGGCACGAUGUCGUUGGUUUGGCGUUCGUUAAGAGACUCCCCGAGAGGGGGUAAGAACUGUCUUUUAUAGGUUAUUGUGGGGAAUUUCCACCAUGUGAUAUGAUGUUCAUGAGUUAAAGGUUAUAGGUGGUCCCGGGAUCUAAAACAAGGGACGAAAGUUGGCUGUUAACUGUAAACUUUUCUGCAAGAUGAUCCAUAAGUUCUGCAGAGAACAAUAGAUGUUGAUAGUUAUGACAGGAAUGUUUACACAGUCCCGGCUAAGAUCGAUUUUUUUCCCCAAUUCAUUACAUAAACGAAAGUAAAGUAAUUAAAAUUUUAGUUAAUAAAAGAGCGUGAUUUGCAUCACUGAAAUUCCGGAUCUCACAUACUGUAUACUAGUCCUUUUGUUUCUUUUCCUAUAAAAUGUUAAUUUAAAUUUUUAAUUGUUAAAUUAGUUUAUUAAUUGUUAAUAUGUUAUCAUGCUAAGUCAAAAAAUCCCAUUCAGUAGUUAGUUUGGACCUCUGAAAAAAUUCUGUAUCAAUUUCAUUAAAUUUGAAUGUGUAAUUAGAAUAAAUUAUUGAAUAAAAAUUAUAAAUAAUUUUCAACAAAAUAACUAUAAAAAUUAUAUUUAUUAAUAAGACUAUUUUUUAAUGCUUUAUAAUUUUUCUUGCAGUAAUUCUAUUUUUAAUUGUUGUUCUCUUUUUUCUUCUUGCAGGAGUUCAAUUCUACAGUCAUUCCCUCUCUUUCUUCUUACAUUUUUUUUUUUCAUAAAAUUCGUAUUAGCUCUAUGUUCUUCUUUUAAAAAAUGCAUUCGAGCUUUGUGAUACUCUAGUGCAUAUUUAUCAACAAUUUUAAAAUUACUUGGUGGAUUAUUAUUUGGUGGUUCAUUUGUUGUUGGAUCAUCAGAAAAUUAUGAUAGAUUCACUAGACAUAAAUCUUGUACGAGUACCUGAAAACAUGCAUGAUAUGUAAAUGAACAUUAUUUAAAAUUAGAUUAGCUCUAAAAAUUAAUUUCUUUUUGGCUAAUUAGUUUUUAGUAUCAAAACAUUAUUAUGAUUAAAAUACUUUGUUUACAUAAUUUAUAUUAACAUCAAAUUAUAAUUGUUGAUAAAAGUUUUAUUUCCUAUAUGCUAAUUUUACAGUAAUCUAUAUAGAAAGGAUCACUAAAAUACAUUUCUAAAAAUAAAUGGAAAUAUAUAUAAGGGGAUUAAUUAACUAUUUAACACUUGCAUUUGAUGCAUUCAAAGUUUCACUAUUUGAUUCUCCCGAUUGCUGUUGCAGUAAGCAGGAAAUUUGGCCACAUUAUCUGAAAGUAAAUACCAAUGUUUAUAACUUUAUUUAAUAAAUUUUUAUUUAUUGUUAUUAACUGCUUUAUUACUAUUUAGUUUUUAUUGAGUAUGAUUAGAUAUAAACAAAUAUACCAUCGACAGAGACAUUAAAAUCAUCAUCAGUGUCAACAGGAUUUGGGAGAGGAGUAAAUUAUUCGGGGAUUUAGGAGAAAAUUCGUUGGGUAAUUGGUGGCAUAGGAUACACAAUAUCGGCACAUACUCCUCCUCCAGUACUCAUCCGUGCUCGCUUAUUUGAUGUCACAUCUUUUAUUGUUUUCUAUUUCAAAUUUUUCCACAAAAUUUUCAAGUUUUUUUGUGUCUCGUUUACUAAUUUUAGGAAAUAUAUUAAACACUUCAGUUAGAUUUUGCCACGUUUAAGUUUUUUCUUUAAAGGAUAUGGCAUUCGUUUUCUUUGAUUUGAUUAUAUCUCUGUACUUCUCAAUUAACUCCAUUAAAUAUUCUGUUUCUCGAUGAGAAAAAUCGGAUUGUCGACUUCGUUCUUGUUGUCUGCCAUGUUUAUAUCUAAGUGCAUAUUACGUCUUUCCGAAAUAUCCAAUCAAGUAACGUGUGAGAAAAUUUACUAGUAACGCUGGUAUCGAGAUUAUCGGAUUCACUAAUCCAGUUCUUAAUAUCUCAGGAUUUACUAAUCCUUCGCUAAAAUUUGUUGGUGAAAUCCUUGCUUCGGUAAUCCCGGUAUUAGUCUAAUCGCCGGAUUUACAUAUACCAUGAGUAGGCAAUGUUGGUGAAACACCCCGUUAGUGUUAUUUACAACAAGAAUAUAAAUACAGUUUAUCAUCUGAUUGGAUCAAACAUUUAAUUUAAGAAAAGCAAAUACUGUUUAACUAACGUACUGAGCACAAUGAAUGUCUGUAAGAGUUAUUCUAACAUGUUGGAAUAAAGAUUCCAAAACACAGCGUAUCACUAAUUUAAAUGCAUAAAGUCAUUCGUUUACGUUUCUCAAUGAGACGGCGGCCUGCUGAAUUUUGUAGUAACGAACAAAUUAAUUUCGUUGGGUAAACUUUAUCUGAAUGGCUGUAUAACAGAUGAUAAUUUUAAUUACAGAUCAUUGCAUAAUGAAACAGACAUUAUAAGAAGAUAAUUAUCAACAAUUUUUAAACGUUUAGGAAUCACAAUUGCAAAAUAUCCAUAUAUUUUUAUAGUCAUUUCUGUGUUACUUUCAAUUUUUUCAAUAACUGGAAUCAUUCAACUUAAGUAUAAGAGAAAUGUAAUCGAUGGUUUGAAAGCCGAUAGCGGGAAAGUUUAUUCUAUACAACGGUUUAUUCAAAAUACGUGGUAAUUUGCAUCAAUAUAUUAUGAAAUUAGAUGUACAGAAAUUCCGAGUGGAAAUAUAUUAUUUUUUUAUAAGAAAAAUGGAGGAAAUAUAUUGGAAAAAGAAAUUCUUCAAGAGUUACAAGUAGCUGAUUUCAUAUUUAAAAAUUGCACCAUUCAAAUGUUUAAUCAAACAAUUGGAUAUGGUGAUAUUUGCAUUAAUGUGCGUAACAAAUGCUACAAUAACGCAUUUCUCAAAAUUAUAUUGAUGCGAGUAACGUGCUAAAUAGAAAGAGAAAGUUCAAAUAUCCGGUGGACAUCGACACCUUGACCUAUUCUUAUCGAACAUACGUCACUAAUUUGGGAGGUGUUACAUCCGACGAAAACGAUUAUGUAAAAACUCAAAGCUGUUAGACUGUUCUACUUACUUGUUAGACUUGUUACUUGUUCUACUUACUACUGUUAGACUGUUCUACUUACUUGUUCUACUUACUUGACAAUUGGAUCGCCAAAGUGUAUAUACGAAUACAAAGUUAAAAGUUUCAAAAUAUCAAACUAUUAAUAAAUUAUCUUUGGUCCAUGGAAGAAGAUACUAAACUACUUCUGGACAAUUUAAAAUAUAUGAUAAUAGCCAUAGUGUCAUUUAUUUGUAUUUUCUCGAUGACGACACUCAUGAAUUUGAUAAGAAGCAAACCUUGGAUGGUAUUAGCAUGUGUUAUGUCUUUGGGAAUGGCAAUCAUAACUUCCUUCGGAUUACUGGGAUAUUGCGGAAUGGAAAACGCUUACACUAAUACUGUAUAUGUAUAUCUCAAUAUACAGGAGGAGCAUUUGAAAACAAUACUCUUAUUCUACUAUUUUUCGAUCCGUAUUAUUUUUGGAAUAGUUUCGAAAACAUUAAAGACAAUUUUCUUAAAAUAUUAUAAAAAUCUCUUGUGCAAUUUAAAAGAUUGUUAUAAAUAUUGAAAUCAAGAAAUUCGUUCCUUCUAGAUAUGUUUAAACUAAUGAUUAAUUUAUAAUAAUUAAAUGAUUUAGUUUGAGUUGGCAAUUACAUUUGUAAGGAAUUAUUUCAACUAAUUGUCUCGUAAACAUUGUCUGUAAUAUUCCACGAGUUAUAAACCAUUUUUUAUUUUAUAUUGCACACUUCUCACCAAUCAAAACCAUCAUGAAAUUAUUUAACCCAUUACAACAAGUAAAAUAUUUAGCAAUUUAUAACUGAUAAGUUUGGUUGCAAAUUAUCGUCUAAUACAAGUUUUACUUUAUUUGUAAUAAAUGAUUUCUGUUUACAACUUUAUUUCGUGAUUAAUGGAAAAUAUUGAUACAGAAAAUCAAAAUGAUUCUUUAAGAUAUGUACUUUUUUGAUUAAAUUUUAUUCAUAUAUUCUAGUAAAUAUUAUACUGUAUUCAAUAUUAAUGUGCGAACCAAGGGGGUAGAGCGAGAGCUUUUCCCCACUUACUGGCUUGGCUGUCAGAGAAUGGUGUCGGGUAUUCACCUCCCAACUGCCCGGUUAAAGUAAAUCAACCGACAUGUUGUAACAUAAAAGACAUAGCAUCUUUAUUAACUAGUAGUAGAUUAAAUUUUGACUCCAAUCUUACAAUCUUCUUGGCUUUUAUGACGAGCGGUAGCACAGUUCGUGGAGCGUAGCGUAGAGGCGACUGGUAGUCUCGGCAGCUAGUCCAGAAGUGUCUUCAUGGGCUAACGCUCCGGGCAAUUUACCGCCUUACAGAAAUGUUGACUAUUUACAAGAAUUAGUUCGCGACCGCAACAAUGGCUAUAGGACGGCUAAAGAUAUGAGUGGGGAGGAGUCGGAAGUUGUGAUCAGGUGUACAAAAGACUACACAGGUUUAAAUAAAUAACACAUUUACUAAACAAAUAAAAUAAUUAUACAUAAAGAUAAGAAAAAUACAACACAUGCGUAUCAAGAUAUAAAUAGAUAUGCUAUAUUCUAACCUAACCUAACUCAAAUGAUCGAGAGAGACCUCACGUUGGAGAGAGAGAUAAUUAUGGCAAGGGUUUACCUCGUAGGAAACGCUCUCAUAUUAUAGGGUGUUGAUAAAACGCUCUGUGAUUAUCGUCUUCUAAUCUGAGGUGUCCUAUGAAGACUAUGUGGAGCGAUGUCCUUCCCAGGUUGUUCGGCUAAGUCCGGUUACGGUGUAUGCUCCGUCGCUCCUAAUCUGUAGAGAGUUCUUUAUGGUGAAGUUCACUCAGAGGUUUCUUGGUUUACCUCUUCGAGGAGCAAUUCCGUCGUAUAUGGAGAGAGUAGAAAAUAUUCAAAGUCUUUUACCUUUUUAUAGAGCAGGGAUUAUGAGCUUCGUAGAUCCUGGGAGUGCUGGAAGAAUAGUUCACUGCGUUCUCUUCCCCGACAAUCGCUCUCGAGGUGUUAGAUCGUUCCCCUUUUAUACCCUUUAGCAUGGGAAAAAUCUGGGAUUUCGUUGACGUCUUUUGACAGUUUUCCCUGAUUUAUUACCGUCUCCCCUGCUGUAGAAAAAUUCAUUGCCUUAUUUGGUCAUUUCUCGUCCGGUCGCUUGGACUUAUGGGGGAUCACGGGACAUCGUGGUCCCUCGUCGAUGACCUUCGGACGAUGAAAGUCACCCUCACUUAUUACGCAGUUAGUGUGAAAACACAAAAUAGCGUUAGUAUUCUCACACUAAUAGAACUGAAUACAUGACGAUGGAGUUUAAAAUGCCACCCUGAAAGUACGUGUUUGAAAACGAUUGGUUUUUAAAUUUUUAAAAUUUGUAAAUGAGGAAUUUACCGGCACAAACAAUCACAGAAAUUUGAAUUUUUCUUUGAUGUUUUUAGCAACUUCAAAUAGUGUUUUUCGGUGAGUAGCCUACAGUUUUUCUAGUGCAAAGCUGAUUGUUUGUUUUCUUCAAUCUUAUUUAGUCGGAUUUCUUGUUACAUAUUGUCAGAAAAUGAAGCAAAUAAACGAAUCUAACGAUGCACAGAAAUAUACAGUUAUAUGCAAUACGAAUAAAACCUGGAGUGAGGGGAGACACCGUGCUACACAGAGACAUAGCAGACCAAACGAGACAGUGACCUAUGACCAAAAAUAUGUGAAACUCGCCAACAUAGUGCCGUCUAAUACAAAGUAUGUCUUAGUGACUUAGCACACAAGGAUUACAUUUUUACUUUCUUUCACACUCCCUCUAUCUCUGUGUGCUACAUACAUAACAAUGAUCAAUUAUUUCAAUUUAAUUUUAACAUUUUCACAAGUCUAUCAAACUUGGUUCCCGUUCUUGGUUUAGUUACGGCAUCUGUCAUCAUUAGGUCUGUCCUCAAAUAGUAAAUUACAAUUUCGUAUUUUUCAAGUAAUUCUCGAGUGAUGUGAUAGCUUACAUCGAUAUGUUUACUACGCUUGUGGAAAACCGCGUUCUUCGACAGUUGUAUUGCUCUUUGGUUAUCGCAGUAGACACAAGUGGGGUUUUUCACACAUCUUUUAAAACCCUUAUGUACUAACAGUCUUUUUAUGUAAGUUUUUUUUGCGAAGCUUCAGCUAGAGCUGAAUAAUUUGCUUCCAUGGUUGACAUUGCAACAGAUGUCUGUGUAAGGUUGCCGACGUUAAGGGGAGACAAUUUAUUCCACGUCAGAAUGAGCCUAAGGGAAACCGCGUAUGUGGGCGGUGGCGAAGGAGGCAAAUGAAGAACAAGUGUUUUACAAGAGAUAACCCAUUUAUUUGUUCGAAUUCAUGCUUAUGUGAGCCAUUGGGAGGGAGGAGGAGUCCUCUCCUUCCGGCCACUGGUCUCUGACCUACUUUCUUGUCAAGGAUGAUGUUACGAUCUGUUACGCGCUCGGUUACACGUAUGCGAGUGGAGGAGUGUCAGAGGGGUCGACGAUAAGACACGGAAUAGUCGGAUAAAGACACCAUGAAAAACAAACAAGAGUUUAUUUAACUACUUAACGAACUUAAAUUUACAAAACUCUAAUUUGUGUAUGAGAGAGAGAGUUUACAAUAAAGUGUUCAUACCUCUUUCAAUUAUUUUGGAGGGCUUUUACUUUCUGGAAGGUUGAUCGAGUUGAAAUACCAGGUCUUCCGAUAAAUGUUGUACGGUAGGUCAGAGGGAAGCGAUGGUCUGUCUUGGCCAUCUGUCGGCAACUCCCUGAUCAGUCACUCCCCAGAGAGGGGAAGGAGACGGGCUUUUAUACCUUUUUGGUGGGAAAAUUCGUCAGGUGACCAAUUGUCCUAGCAGGUGUGGGGUUAAAGUUGGUGUUCACAGACAACAAUCUGACGAAUUUCGCCGAUACUUAUAAACAACGCACAAUUUGAUCGUGAGAAUGUUUAUAGUUGAAUAGGAAGAGUUAAAAUCUUCUCAUGUAUUUGAUAUUUCGUUUCUUUAGGGUCAUGUUUCUUAGGUUAAAGGAAAUUAACUUUAUUAAAAAUUUAAAGGGUUAAAUGCAUUUAUAAUUUCGAAUUUCACAUCACUUUUUGCUUUCUUUAAAAUUGUACUUAGAUAGUGCAAUUUUAAAAUUUAGGUGGUUUCUUUCGUCUAGAGGUACAAACCUAUUAGAAUUUUCUCUUUUCAUUUUCAUCUCUCUCAUCUAUUGAUAAGAAACUAGGUGUACAUAUAAGUUUAUCCCAGUACGCGUUAAACUCGCGACAAUAUUUAUGGUUUAGGGUCAUUACCAGUGUUUUCUUAGGUCGUUUGUCAGGCUGGCUCGUUGAUUGGCUGAGAGUGAGUGUAAGUUGACAUGUUGUGAGAGUAGUUCAAAGUUCUUUGUGUUGGGGUCUUUUUUUGUAUGAGUGUAUGAAGUAUUUUUGGUGUGUCUUCUUGAGUGGCCGCUUGAUCUGAACUGCGUAGCAAUUGAUGAGUAUUUUGCUCAGAAUAUCGAUGAAAUCUUCGUGCUGAUGAUAUUUGUCGUAUAGUUCCUAUGAUGAUAGGUCAGCGUAAUCUAGGUGAACCUUUCAGUCAUUGACUUGCAUCGUUACAUUCUGGAAGGGAUGAAUCACUGUUCUUGUCGAAAAUAAAAUAUGAUUAGUAACACUUUUCGGAACGAAAUAUAUAUCCUUGGCUUGUUGAGGUAAGUAGAUAUACAUAAUAUAGGGUUUACUCUUUCUCUCAUUAUUUUUAAUACUCAAUAUUAUGACUAAUAUUAUCUAAUAGGAUACAAAACUAGUUUAACGAAUUAAAUUUAGCGAAUUUAAUAUUGAUGCUAUUUUGUUAUAAAAAUAGGAAUACGCGAAAUUUACGAAAACGUUCUUAUACAAAUGUAUAUGGGUUACAAUAGGGUAGUUAGAAUGCUUAGUCGUGAGACUAUUAAUAGGUUAAAACAACAGAGGGUUGGGGUCGUUGAAGGGAAUUGCCUCGGGGUGUCAUUUCCUGGGAUGUGCCUGGAUAUGUAUCAGUUGGCCUUUCCCUUUCGUUUAUACUGGUCUCUUCCGGGUUGUUUUCCGGUGUGCGUUGCUGACUCUUUGUUUUAGUUUUUCUGCGCUGUAUGUAGUAUCGGCCAGCACCAAUGGUGCAGAUUCCACUUAAUAUUGUACUAAGACAACUACAAAGUACAAUUAUCCAUGUAGAGGGAUAAGUUUUGGACGAAAAUGUCAGCGAUAGUCGUAUUAGUUUGUCUAGGUCAUAUUGGACGUUUGCUAAAGAACGAUCGGCCAAUUUAAUAUCAUCAUCGGAUGUCAAUUGGGUGUCUCUUCACUCUCGCAGGUGUUUCUCCAGUAUUUGCAUUUCCGUUUAAUUUAUAAGAUGGUCUAAUGGCGGAACUAUCAAAUGUUGCGCAAUCUCAUGUUGUAUUGUUGAUCAUCCUUGAAAAGGUGAGGUAAGAAUAAAUCCAGGUAAAUAACCUGUACACGCAUUUGGGAUAUUAAUUAUUCCGGUAUGAUUUAAUUUGUAAGUAGUGGCUAUAGAAGAAGGGUUUGUAUGCCCUGUUGGACAUCUAAUAGUUAGGAUGAGAGGAUUUUGUAUGGAAUAAAUUCAUGAUCCUUGUAGGUCAACCUUUUUAAAUAUCGGCGCAUACUUGAUAACGAUUUGGCGAGUGCAAAGGUCUUUGACUUUGGUUUCCAUGCCUGUAAAUAAGGCAUGUUAACAACUUUGUUGAGGGAAUCGUUGAAUAGGAACAUCCAAUAAACAAACAGGGAGACGGCCUACUUUGCACAUAGGUCGUAUCGUUGUAGUAACAUAUAGGAUUGUCUGUCCAUAGAUAGUGCGAUGAUUGGGUAUUCAGCUUGAAAUUGGAUAAAGGUCUUUAAAACAGGUACGUAGGUCGGAAACUUUACAAUUUUGUAUACAUCAAAAUAUUCAUGAGGAGUUAUUAUCGGUAUCUUAGCAAAAAUUCUCAACUUGUUAGGUAAAGCAACAGCAAUGGUAGUAAUCCAUUGGUAAUAUUUGAAUAACGUAUCUUGUUUAAUAGGUACGAUCAUGGCGUAUCCCUCUGGCAAUUGAAGUUGUCUGUUUUGGAGGGUACGUAGCAUAAUGUCGCGCGGGAUAAAAUAGGUGCUUAAUUGGUUAUGCUCCAAAAUAUCAAUGGCCUCUCUUAACUCUACCAGUUGGAAAUGGAACUCUUGGAUAGAAAAGUCGAUUAUUCGGAGAAUAGUUUCAAAUGCGAGGUCAUACCUGUAUAGAUUCAUUAGUUCUCUGAAGGAUUCUUGCCUUUUUAAUAGUACAUAAAUUUGAUGCCGAUUAUUUUUACUGAUGUUUAACGUAUCAUUUAAUAGGGUGGUUUGGGAAUUUAAUAAAUGUAGGAUGCCUUCGUUACGCUGUUUAAUUUGUGAAAUUUCGUCAUUUAAGGUCUGAAUAUCCUCCGAUGUGGCAGUGCCAAAGAGGAAUUUUAGGAUUUUUCCUCCUGCAUCUAUCAAGCCUUGCUUUUUCAUCUGUAAGGGUUGUAUGGUAAUUAGGUUAGUGAGCUCUUGAUAUUCUUUAUGGUAAUUAAGGAAAGAGGUUCUUACUAGUUCAAAGCCUUUUUCCGGGAGAUUCUUUUGUGUCUGUGGAUCUUUGUCCUGCGGCGGAAUAUGUUUGCGCUGUUGAGUCAUUGUCUCUAAAUAAACAAGAGAACUUGAAAUGAAUUGAAUUUGUCGCUCUGUGGUCUUUGUGUUGUAAGAGCAAUUAUAAUUACCAACACUUUUCUUACAAAUCACUAACAGGUUCUUUUAUUUAUGGAUCCCAAUUGAUUCAGGUACAAUCAUUACAACGUGAUGGGUACAAGAAAUCGCGGGGUGACGUUAUCUUGGCGCGUGACAAUAUGUAUCUUCUAUACGCGUGAUAAAAUCUAACUUAACCUAACUUAAACCUAGCUUAAUACUAAGGAAAAUAUAAGAAGGAUAGGAUAGCAAGAAGGAAAAUAGAAGGAAGAAACAACUUCACCCGGGACUUUCCUCGUUCUUUCUGAUAUGAUUUUGCGCUCUAGGUCGGACCCUUUUCUAUUGGCACUCUCUUCCCAACUCUUACUGUGUCCUCGGAUCUACUUCCUUAGUGAAGUAAAAUGUCUUCAGUUUUCCUGUCGUUGGGCCUUCAGCCGUGGGGACUCUGAUUCUCUCCAGUCCGUCGCUUGACCCUCCCGAGAAGUCUCUCUUUCUUCGGCUCUCAGUCAAGUCCAAAGUUCACCUCGACACGUCCUAUUCUCCUCGUGUCUCCCUCGAUUCUGUCCCUUCUUACCUCUUCCGUCCCCUCUACACACCCUUUUUUGUUCUCCUCUCUCAGAGGGGAGUAAUUUUUUGCACUAUUGUUCUUUGCAAUUCACAGAAUCGCUAAUCCCCCCUAGAGGCUAUAACGGUCAUGGAAUGUUCUAGAAUGAACACACAAAGAAAUCGAAGAAAUAGGGAAAGAAUAUUAGAACUAAAAAUAUGUAUAUACCAAUAAUAAUAAAAUAAACGUAUGCCGAUAUGGCCACCGGCCACAGCUCUAGGUGCUCAAAGGUCAUAUCGUUCACCAGGGUCCAAUGGCUGGUAGUUAUCAGAAAAUUUCCUUGGUGCAAGAACACGACUCCUUUCGAUAGGUCAUCCGUUUUUAAAGGAAGUGUCAAUGUCACGAACAGGCUUAGGACAAUACUAUAAAUUUGAAGAGGACUCAUGUCGUUGACCCGCCGGUGAUAUCUCUCGUGUAGGCCGCUAUGAUCAGGGUAGAUUUCUUUCCCUGCAAUAGGGGAAUAGUGUUAUUAAGUUUGCGUUUUUUUAGCAGUGGUGGUAACACGAAUACAUACAAAAUAAUUUGAAGCAUUAUUAGGGCAGGAGUAUCUAACGCGCUACCCGUGUCGCGAGUCGAUAA